Molecule: ribosomal RNA, 403 nt
Filed under: uncultured bacterium
Lineage: Bacteria
Description: bacterial SSU rRNA
Rfam family: Bacterial small subunit ribosomal RNA
Source: RNAcentral
AACGAACGCUAGCGGCAUGCCUCAAACAUGCAAGUCGUACGAGAACGUGCCUUCGGGUACUAGUAAAGUGGCGCACGGGUGCGUAACACGUAGCUAACGUACCUCCUCGCUGGGGAUAACUCCGGGAAACCGGAGCUAAUACCGAAUGAGCUGCGAGAAUCUGCGGAUUCUUUCGGCAAAGCUUCACGGCGCGAGGAGAGCGGGCUGCGGCCCAUUAGUUUGAUGGUGAGGUAACGGCUCACCAUGGCGACGAUGGGUAGCUGGUCUGAGAGGAUGAUCAGCCACACUGGAACUGGAACACGGUCCAGACUCCCACGGGAGGCAGCGGUUGGGAAUAUUGCACAAUGGGGGAAACCCUGAUGCAGCAAUGCCGCGUGAGGGAUGAAGGCUCUCGGGUCGUAAA